This 190-nucleotide small RNA is filed under the name Rhizobium sp. BK650. RNAcentral's name for it is "sRNA Atu_C9". It matches the Rfam family "Rhizobiales sRNA Atu_C9". The record is from RNAcentral. Lineage: Bacteria; Pseudomonadati; Pseudomonadota; Alphaproteobacteria; Hyphomicrobiales; Rhizobiaceae.
AGUUAACGCGAGGAGGCAGACAUGGGACUUACGCAAUCCUUGAAUGUCCUGUUGGUCAGUGCAGCGUUCGCAUUCGUCUUGACCAUGCUCUUCAUUUGAGCCAGGCGAAGCGUAAAGACUGAAAUACCGAACUCCUGAAACAAUCAGCCCCAGCUAUUGAAAAGCGCAUGCCCAGCCGGACAUGCGCUUU